UACUUUUGUUCAUUCUUUGGACCCCAAACC
RNAcentral lists this non-coding RNA (30 nucleotides) under Mus musculus (house mouse). Lineage: Eukaryota; Metazoa; Chordata; Mammalia; Rodentia; Muridae. The record is from RNAcentral.